ACCAAUCGGGUGUCCCGUACCAUCCGCGACCCUGGCUCCCCGAGACCGACCGCCAAUCAGCCGUCCCGUAACUUUUUUCAUUCAAUCCGUUCUUUGUGAAGUGAAUCCAUGGCCGGGGGGAGUGAGAAGGGAAGGGAAAAGAUGUUAUGGUUCUCCUAGAUCGGAUGUCAAUAUUUCACAGAGGAAUUUCACUUUUAUCCGUGUUGAAUUUCGUCGUAAAGCCGAGACUGACGUCUUGCCUCGAGGGCUCGGGCCGGGGCCGCCCUCGCGUUUCCUUCCGCUGACUCUUUUUACGCCUUUUUCACCUUCAGCCACUCUGGUCGAUUUUUUCCUCCUUUUUUUCCCCUACAGUUUAUUGUGUUGACUUUUUCCCUCGCUCCGCUCGCUCCACAACAGCCCUCGAAUAUUUUAAUUUACGUUUUUACAUUUUAUUCGACUCCUCUAUGAUAGAUCUCAAACUUCUCUCUACAAAAAUCACAUUGACAACUACUAUUUACCCUCCGAAGACAAAAGGACAAGUGGGGAAAAUUCGUAACACUUAGUUGUUCAUAUGCCAGAUUUUUCGGUUGAAUGAGCAUAACAGAAUGGUAAAACAAGGACAUCUUCACAGCAUAAACUUUUUAAAACGGCUGAAGUAUACAACUAUUAGAAGAUGAACACAAGUGUAGUGUUUAAGAAAGAUUUUAGUUUUAGUUAUGUGUGUGAAAAGUGAUUUCUUUUUUAAAUGGUUGUUACUAUGGAAUAUGGUUGACUUUGAACCAGUGUAUCUGUAAAUCUUGACUUUUAUCCAACUUGAACUUUUCACAAAAAGAAUAUAUUUUUUAUUUACAAUUUUGUAAUGUUGACACAUCUAAUUUCGCCUCGACCGGACAGACUCGAAGGCGUUUUAUUGUAAUGUUAGGCUACUUAACAAUGUUGGAAAAGAGAGAGAUAAAAGACUAUGAAGGGACGGAGAGUGGAAUUGUAAGAGUGGACAACCAUCAGACUAAUAUCAUCAUGACAAGUAAUAACAAUUCGAUAAAUGAUCCUAAAGAGGCUGCUCUUAUCAGUGCCAAAAAGUUACCAAAGAAGAGAAAAUUUGUUCCGUCCGAAGAAGAUUAUGAAAAGCCAUUAGCCGAAUCAUUCACUAGUGUAGUGGUUCCACCACAGGUUACUGCAGUGGAUUAUUCCUGCCUGAAUUCUCAAAAGACGAGGGAAAACGAGAGGCAGAGCACCUCCUUGUCAUAUGCAGAGAUCCAUAAAUCAGAAGAAAGAGUAGAUGUAGGCUGUGUAGAAAACAGCGAUUUGACACACAGACCUGUUCAUGUGAGAAAUGAUAUUGACUUGAAAGAGUGGAUAGACACUCACGUAUUAGCUAAAAGGGAGGACACUUAUUUGCCAGGAGUCAUCCGGCGGGCUGGACAAAAUGGUGAAGUGUGGGUGGAACUAGACAAUUAUGAGCACAAGGGGCAGCAUGUCAUAUUUACUGAUGUAUUGAAUUCUGGAAAAUACGACAUAAUUUUAGACGCCAGUCCGUCUGCGGGUCAAGUCAAUGUCAACGCAAGAGUAUGUGUUAAGGUUCCUUCUCUCUCAGAUGAACAUCACAUUCACCAACGUGUAUAUAUAGAAGGAGUUGUCUGCAAAGUCACUAGUGCCCCUAGAAGAUUCGUUGUACAACUGAUAGGGAAUCAACAAGGGAAAGAAGUUAUUGUGAGCCGAGCAGAUCUUCGGCUGCUACUCCCGCCAUGGUGGGAAGAGCUAGAAGAUAUAGAAGAAAAUAACCGUGAAAUUGCUCAUUCAACACUUAACAAUGGUUAUGUACUUCCCAACAACGGACACCUUCUGCAUCAUAUCGUUCCUGGUCUUCAAGGGAAUGAAUCGAUAACAUACUACAGAACCAGCCCCAGUUCACCACUGCACAAUAUGGCCACACCAAACAGCCUUAUUUCAACUGCGCCUUCGAACGCAAGUGGCGAAGAUUUACGACGCAGGCAGUUUGAUGAUUUUGUAGAAAGUGAUGAUGAUUUGAGGAGAGAAGACAUUCUUUUUCCAACAGAUGCAGGAAGCAGUAAAAGAAGCAGUGUCCAUAGUAGAGGUAGCACCUCAAGUUUAUUGGAGCAUGGAAGUAUCACUCCAAGAUCUACACCAGCAACACCAAGAUCUCAAGCGGCGACACCUCACAAAUAUAAAAAAGGUGACGUCGUCUCAACACCUAGUGGAAUUAGGAAAAAAUUCAACGGUAAGCAGUGGAGGAGACUUUGCUCAAAGGGGGAUUGCACUAAGGAAUCUCAAAGAAGGGGCUACUGCUCUAGGCAUCUUAGCCUUAAAGGAAACAACAAUACGUUACGCCCACAACCUGCUAAUUUUCCCAGAAAUAAAGGAAGUGUUUUGGAUGGUGAGGAAACAUCCAGAGAUUCUGAUACAUCUCCCAACUAUGGUGAAAGGAGAAGAUUCGACCCUGAUGAAACAGAAGCUGCUAAUAUGCUUGUUUCUUUGGGUACAUCUCGUUCUGCAACUCCUGCAUACUCACCAACAAACCAUAAUCCAUCACCAAGCAUUCCCGUGCAGUCACCUGUUACAGUCGGUUCAAGACAAAAUGUCUUCCUCCCAAUUCCUAGUAUGCAGCGUCAUCCUCAGCCUUCUCCCGUACAGCAUCACUUUAUGGUUGGAUCUUAUCAACAACAUGUUAUUAGGCCAGAAUUGGUGAGACCAACUACAUUAAUGGGCCAACAUCAAGAAGGCCGUUGCUCCCCUGUUAAUACAGGAAUGGCUACGAGUGUCAUUCGUAUUUCACCCAGUCCUCAACAACAGCAACAGCAGAUUGGAACUCACAUAGCCUGGAAAGUUGACAGCCCAUCACCACCCGCAACGCAUGCGCCUCAUGGCUACAACAUACUCCAGCAAGCUUUAACUCAUCCUGAAUCGCAUCCCAUGGAUGAGGAUCAACCACAACAAAGGCUGCAGGAACAACAAGACGUCCAACAACAAGUCAGCAAUCUUAGGAUAUUGAAAAUUGAUGAUAGACUUAUUCAAAGACCCCCUCAUCACCAAGAAUCUGUGAUCAGGAAAGACAAUUCAACCCACCAUUCAGUUCUCGUUGAAAAACCACUAACAGUUCUCCACCAAGUUGUUAAUAAGCCUAUGCAAUUUACAAAUGAAAAUAUUAAUUUGCACAAUACUUCAAAUACUGUGAACACAGUGAAUGAGCAGAACGUAUCUCAGCAAACUCAAAUGGGGAAAACGAACGUUUAUCAGCAACACGUGAUCGUAAAUCCAACUGAACUUCUUCCUGUACUACCUCUUCAGAACAAAUCCGACGACUCACCACAAAGAAACGGAGGUGUCGCUGUUAACACAUCAAGUGGUAUGGCAUUGUACCAAUGGGAUACUCUUGUUCCACUUCUCGGUACGUCACCUCCAUUAACCCCACCUAUUCUGUCACCACCACUUUCUGCUCCACCAGUCCCGAUAGACCCACCGCAUCAAGCAGAUGAAGAAGACGAUGAUGUAUUUGAGCCAGUUAGAGAGCAAGUACCUCUUAUCCAAGAAGGACUUAGCAACAGUUCAGCUGGUAAAAGAAGAACACAGUCAUUGAGCGCAUUGCAAAGUUCUAAAGAACCACAAAGUCCUCUUAAGGCAAAAGAUAGAAUAAGAAGACCCAUGAAUGCAUUCAUGAUUUUUUCAAAACGCCACCGCCCCCUUGUCCACCAAAGGCACCCCAAUCAGGACAAUAGGACAGUUUCAAAGAUACUCGGAGAAUGGUGGUACGCUUUGAGGCCAGAUGAAAAGCAGAAAUACCAUGACCUGGCUUCCGAAGUGAAAGAAGCUCAUUUUAAAGCCCACCCAGAAUGGAAGUGGUGUAGUAAAGACAGGAGAAAAUCUUCGACGAGCUCUGGAAGGGGCAAACUUGGUUCAGCCGAAGAUGGCGCGGAAUGCAUUCGCCCUACUUCACCACAAUUCCCAAGUACCUCUAAUACUAGUAUUGAGAAUAAAACUGUACCUGAAAAUAAUAAGACUGUAGAAGCAAGUGUGUCAGGUCAAGGAACCAACCACCCAGAAGAUGAGUUUUCUGAUGAGGACCAAAUGGUCAUUUGUGUUGAAGAAUCAGAAGUGGAUUUGAAGUGCAAAGAAAAGGUUGAAAACUCCGACUGUGAAAUGCCACAGCAUUGUUUCAGUUCGACGCCCAGGCCAUCUUCACCUGGUUCAGUUGAUGUCACGUGUCGUCCAAAGCCUAUUAAAGCUCGAAUUGGGUCAACGGGAUUGGAAAGUUCUGUGAAACACCCUACAACGCCAGGCGAAAACGUGCCUAUUGUUCCAUACCCAUACCAUUCACCAAUAAACCCAACAGGCGUUUCCGCUUUUCAACCAACAGGGGGUGGAGCUUUUAAGUCAAUGCCAAUUUCUCCAAAGGUUGCAAAAUCGGAGUUUGGGUCAAAUGGAGCUCUUAAUUCCGUAACUUGGUGCACAAGCGGGGUAAAGGAUAAUGAAUGGCAAAAAUCUGAACAAAGUGGAGUCCUCAAAUCAAACCAUCCUCUGUCUAGUCAGCCAACUGUCCUUCAUCAGCAUUCGUACAAACCCCCUUCUACACCAACUUCUCAGGGCGGAUCAAAACAAGCAAAUAUUGUUAAGACGACGACAAUAAACUGUAAGCAAGCCAUAACCUACACACAAGCCCAGCCAGUCACUUUAUACGUCCCAUCAACGAAUUCCCUCUUUACAAAUUUACUUUUGAAAAAUGAGCAGACAACGGAGCCAGUUAAAUAUCUUGUUCAGAAUGCAAGGUUUCAAAAUGUGUAUGUCUCAGCAGCAGCUGAUACCGGCAGAAGUGCAAAUCAGAUAAAAUUAGUCACAGCACAAUCAAAUCCAACAGUUAUAGUCAGUAAACCUAGUAGCAUCACAACUAUACAAGACAAAUCAGAAAGUCAGAAAACUGGUCCUGAAUUGUAUGAUGGAGAUAGGCGAAUGGAAAUAGAAAUGAAACCAAGUAAUCAAGAGGGUCAAACCAAUAGUAAUUUUAAUGAAAUGAAGCCUGAAAAUCUUGAAAAUAUGGAAGUUGAUGUGCAAGAAGAAAAAACGUUCAUCCUCGACCCAACUCCUGCUCAGUUAGGGAAGGCCCCACUACAAAGGAGGCAGUCAAUGGUUAUGAAUUCAAAUGAUAACCAGAUGAAUUCAGAGGCAGUGAAAGUCAACAACAGUGCUCCCGUUAAACGAGAAGAAGAAGUGCCAGUUUCGCCUUCUGGCAAGAAGAGCUUUUUCAAGAAAAAUGUUGAAGACGGGAUGGACAGAGUACUUGAGACCGUUAAUUUUGAGAAAAAAUUCUCAUCGCUUCCUGAGUAUAAGCCAGAUGAGUGCCAGUCGCCUAGUGCGAUAUCAGUUCCAUCAAGUCCACAUGUGUUCAACCAGUUUAGAAAGAAGCAGAUAAACCGAACUACAGAUGAGUGCCAGAAUAACGAAAUUGCUUCGACUCCAAAAACGGCCAAACUGGUUGGAAACACAUUUUUCGGGCCAGAUUUUAACAUAGAUGCUUUUAAAGGUCUUGAAUGCAAUGAGGCCAUGGAGGGUCUGUCACCGAGGACUCCAAAAACACCUGGUGGUAGGGAGAUUGAAAAAGGCCACCGUCGGAUGCUCGAACAAAGACGAAAUCUUGUGAUGCAGUUGUUUAACGAUCACGGCUUUUUCCCUUCUACACAGGCAACCAAUGCGUUCCAGUUUUGACAGAUUGUACAGAAAGAUGUCUUGUAUCUUUCCAUCUGGUUACAGUCUUGGAAUAAUCCGUAAUACGACUAGAGAAUUCAACUUUAAGAGGGACAACACCUUCAGGAGAACGUGGUCCUUGCACGAUUCUACUUGGAAACCAGAGCCAGAUGAAAGCCCAUAGGAAGAGCAGAGCCAC
This 5872-nucleotide unclassified non-coding RNA is filed under the name Cimex lectularius (bed bug). Its description in RNAcentral is "putative transcription factor capicua, transcript variant X3". The record is from RNAcentral. Lineage: Eukaryota; Metazoa; Arthropoda; Insecta; Hemiptera; Cimicidae.